Rattus rattus (black rat) is the source of this 128-nucleotide small nucleolar RNA. RefSeq annotates it as small nucleolar RNA SNORA17. The transcript has a single exon. The record is from RefSeq and is a predicted model, not a curated record. NCBI's taxonomy places the organism in Eukaryota, Metazoa, Chordata, Mammalia, Rodentia, Muridae.
CCUGCCCCAGAGGCCUUGCAGGUGGCUGCUGUGUCACACGUGCAUCAGUAGGUGGCAGAGAGAAGGGACAUGAUGUUCAUGCUCUGGGUUCUGACCUCUGACAUCUGAAUGAUUAGUAGUCUAAUAUU